UGCGUAGGCGGCGAGGCAAGUUGGGUGUGAAAGCCCUCGGCUCAACCGAGGAAUUGCGCCCAAAACUGCCCUGCUCGAGGGAGACAGAGGUGAGCGGAACUUGCGGUGGAGCGGUGAAAUGCGUUGAUAUCGCAAGGAACACCAGUGGCGAAAGCGGCUCACUGGGUCUCUUCUGACGCUGAGGCACGAAAGCUAGGGGAGCGAAGA
RNAcentral lists this ribosomal RNA (207 nucleotides) under uncultured bacterium. RNAcentral describes it as "partial 16S ribosomal RNA". It matches the Rfam family "Bacterial small subunit ribosomal RNA", at positions 568 to 774 of the family's 1533-position model. The record is from RNAcentral.